AACGAACGCUGGCGGCAGGCUUAACACAUGCAAGUCGAGCGAGACCUUCGGGUCUAGCGGCGGACGGGUGAGUAACGCGUGGGAACGUGCCCUUCUCUACGGCAUAGCCCCGGGAAACUGGGAGUAAUACCGUAUACGCCCUUUGGGGGAAAGAUUUAUCGGAGAAGGAGCGGCCCGCGUUGGAUUCGGUAGUUGUUGGGGUAAUGGCCCACCAAGCCGACGAUCCAUAGCUGGUUUGGGAGGAUGAUCAGCCACACUGGGACUGAGACACGGCCCAGACUCCUACGGGAGGCAGCAGUGGGGAAUCUUAGACAAUGGGGGCAACCCUGAUCGAGCCAUGCCGCUUGAGUGAUGAAGGCCUUAGGGUUGUAAAGCUCUUUCAGCUGGGAAGAUAAUGACGGUACCAGCAGAAGAAGCCCCGGCUAACUCCGUG
Molecule: ribosomal RNA, 433 nt
Filed under: uncultured bacterium
Lineage: Bacteria
Description: partial 16S ribosomal RNA
Rfam family: Bacterial small subunit ribosomal RNA
Source: RNAcentral